UACGUAGGUCCCGAGCGUUGUCCGGAUUUAUUGGGCGUAAAGCGAGCGCAGGUGGUUUAUUAAGUCUGGUGUAAAAGGCAGUGGCUCAACCAUUGUAUGCAUUGGAAACUGGUAGACUUGAGUGCAGGAGAGGAGAGUGGAAUUCCAUGUGUAGCGGUGAAAUGCGUAGAUAUCACGCAGAACUCCGAUUGCGAAGGCAGCGCACCGGCGCCCUACUGACGCUCAGGCACGAAAGCGUGGGUAUCGAACAGG
This 252-nucleotide ribosomal RNA is filed under the name uncultured bacterium. RNAcentral describes it as "partial 16S ribosomal RNA". It matches the Rfam family "Bacterial small subunit ribosomal RNA", at positions 524 to 776 of the family's 1533-position model. The record is from RNAcentral.